RNAcentral lists this long non-coding RNA (10336 nucleotides) under Populus trichocarpa (black cottonwood). RNAcentral describes it as "long non-coding RNA (PTRI_LNC002284)". The record is from RNAcentral. Lineage: Eukaryota; Viridiplantae; Streptophyta; Magnoliopsida; Malpighiales; Salicaceae.
CUUCAAUAUAUCUCUCUCUCCCUGCUUCUGGCUUGCCUGUUUGGUAAUUACAUGAUGGAGCAAGAAGGGUCCUGAUGGGGGUGAAUCGGAUAGAUAUAGGUCUGAGGCAUGCCUCCACCAAACACGGGCCAAACAACCGGCUGCACUGCUGGCUCUUCUUUCUUCUCUUCUUUCUUUUCUCCCACAGCUUCUACACUUGCUAACUCUGCGUAGCCUACUUUCUUUCUCAGCAAAUUUGUAAGUUGUACUGCAUCAACUCCAUCGCCUACCACCUCUAUCUGGCUCUUAUCUUCCCCUCCUAAACGAGCAGAUUCAACACCUACAGAAUCGCAAAAGGAUAUAUAAACCAGUCAACAAAUUGAUCAUCUGAAUUUUCCCACAAAUGCAUGGUACUUUCUAUUAGGUAUUCCGAUUCUAAAACUUGUGUGCAUGGAAGGUUUUGUUCACCUGAAAGCCCAACUGCAAUCCGCAAGGCUUUGGUGCGUGACUUCGGUCCAUUCCCCGUCACCUUGAUCACUAUCUUUUGCUGCAAUGAUUUAGCAUAAUUAAUCAUUAACAAGAAAGUAAUAUACAUAAUAUUUUUACGAACAAGCUAGCAAUAUACUUGUGUUCUGAUCGCAAAUUCAUACCUUCAUGGUCUUGGUUGUUGGAAAGAUGGUGAUAUGUAGGGAAUGAGGAGCUGUUUACAGUCCAGGAGACACCAAAAGUGAUGGUUUUGGUCUUUUGGGGAGGUUUUGAAGAAACAGAGGAGGGAGUAAAUUAAUGCUCUAGUUGUUUGAAGAUGGAAAUCUGGGAGGCAGUUCUUGCUAUUUAUAUAGGAGUGCAUGGGCUAGAGAGUAUGCUUGAGGAGAUUUCUGUGCAAGUUCUCAAGGAAUCUCUGAUUCCGAUUCGCUCUUCUUUCAGUUGACAAGUAAACACACGGCAUUUCCUUUGGGGUCCUGCUUAUCAUUGACCUAGCUAGAAGACCUAAUUAAUUUUAAUCACCAAAUAAAAAAAAAAAGAAGAAAGAAACAAGACAAGGUGGCUAGAUUUGUGUGGGAUAUUUGAAAAGACAUCUGAGAUAGUAAUUUUUUCAUGUGUUUUUAUUUAAAAAUAAAUUAAAAUUAAAAUAUAUUUUUAUUUUUAACACCCACAACCACAAAAAUAAACAAUCCCUUCUAGUCUCCUUACAAGGCUUGUGUUUGCAAUCAGAGAGUAAAAACACGUUGAUGGUUUUUAUUUUCUAAUCUGUAAAACACACGAAUCCUGCUUAUAAUUGGUCUCGGCAGGAAAUAUUUUCAAAAUCAAGUUGUGGCAUGUCCUAGUCCGCGUUGCUUUCGAUCCAAUUCUUUUAGCUGAUUAAAAGAUAAAAGGAAAAUAUGGGAUCCACAGUUCAUCUUGCAUGCAAUACCGAGGAAAGAGUCUUUGCAGACCAAAUCGAUUUUUAGUCUUUAAGAACACUUUAAUUACUCCUAAAAGGGACCAGGGAAAAUGUGAACGCCGAAAAAUCAACAGUAGAGUUCGAAAAUGAAGUGCAGCAACAGGAGAGCAGAGUUACAUUGAGAUUAGGUGGCUAUCAGCCUAUCAUUAUCAACCUUUCUCUUUCCUGUUGUGUGUGUGUGUGUGUGUAUGAAAAAGAAUGACGAGUGAUAAAAAGCUGUGUGUACGAGUGACUUUUUCUGAAAAGAAACAGGAGCGCGUAAGGGACAAAUCAGCUAACUUAAUAUAUCGAACCCCUCCUCUGGUACAGAGUACAGACGACUUGUUUAUUAUACCAUCGUUAUGCCAUACAUUACGGGUCAAAUGAAUUCUUUUUUUAACAUAUAAAAAAAAUAUCAAGGUAUUGUUGAUGUUUUUCUAGAGUAAAAAAUUUAAAACUGUGUGGGAUGGUUCAUUUAAUAUGAUAUAAUUAACUUGAUGAGUGUAAAAAUAACUUGAAUAAUUAGUAAAAUUAUUGUUUAAUUUACUAACAUUGAAGGCAAUUUUUUUUAAAAAAAGUAAUAUUGAAACAAUAAUAUAUUUAAUUGAUUUGGGUCAACUCAGGUUAAUUUGUCAAAUCCGCAACCUGGAUUAAGAGACCAUAAUAACCCUGUAUAAAACAAAUCAAAACAAAUUAUGAAGUUAAAAAAAAUGAUUUGAGUUAACCUGUCAAAUCUGUGACCCGGGUCAUGAAAUUACACUACAAGAUUUAACAGUUUUACCAACGGAAAAAUUUCAUCGGUAUAAGACACAUAUUCCAUCGGUAAUUAUAUUACCGACGGAAUCACAGACAAAAAUGAUCCGUCGGUGAAUCGUUCGUCGGUAAUGUUUUGUCCGUCGGUAAAUCCGUUGGUAAUAUAAUCACCGACGGAUUUACUGACGGAACAGAUGCGUCGGUAAUAAUUUUUUAUUAUCAAUGAAAUUACCGAGGGAUAUACCGACGGAAAUUUCGUCGGUAAUUAUAUAAAAACAUUUUAAAAAAAUCAUUUUAUAAAAUUAUAAAAUAAUUAAAUUAACAUAAAUCAACACAAUAUAUUAUAUACUCAAAAUGCUUGGAAAAAAAAAUAAGAAAAUCAACUCAAACAAAUUUGCAACAAAUAAAUAAAAUGAAAAAAAUAAAUUCAACUAAGAAAAUUCAUAUGAAAAAAAUGAAGUUGCAAUUGCUAAAAAUUUAAAAAUCCCUAUAAAUAAAUCAACUAAAAAUUGGUCUCAUAUGAAAAAAAAAUCUCACAACAAAAUUUAUACAAUUAUUAAGAACAAAAACAAUUAAAAAUAGAAUAAAAAACAAAUAUAGUGAAAAAAAUCAUGAAAAAAGAAGAAAAAAGAAAAAUAUUACCUUAAUGUAAUUGCAAGUGAAGCUAAGGAGAGAAAUUUUUUUUUCGUAAAGCAUAUUAAUUAAAAAAAAACUAAGAGGAUAAAAGAAGAAAGAAGAAGAAGAAGACAUACCCGAGUAUGAACGAAAAGAGAAGAAGAUUAGGAGAGAAAAGAAGAGAAAGAAAUAGAUAUUGAUGUUUUUUACAUAUAGUGAAGAAGAAGAAGAAGAAGAAGAAGAAGUAGAAGAAAAAUUAUAAGAAAUGAGUCUGUUUCUUGUGAAAUAAGGGGAUCCAGACUUUUAAUUGGGGCGCGUUAGCGACGGAUUUACCAACGGAUUAUUGAAUAUUAAUAUUUUUUAAUUAUUCCGUCGGUAAUUCCAUCGGUAAUAUUUAAUUUAAAUUUUCAAUUUUGUAAAAAGUUUUCAAAAACUGCCAACAAUUACCGACGAUUUUUCAAUCCAUCGGUGAUUCCGUUUGUAAUAUUUAAAUGAAAAUUUUAAAUUAAUUGAAUUUUUUCAGAAAACCGCCAAAUAACACUGACGACUUUUCAAUCCGUCGGUGAUUUUGUCCGUAAAGAACAACAAUUAACAGUGCAAUUGGAAAGUGAACAGUUCUGGAGCUCUCUAGAAAAUACCGACAGAAAUUUCCGUCGGUGAUUCCCUUUGUAAUUGACACGAUGAACAAUGUUCACAGUUUACCAAUGGAUUUACCGACGGAUUUACCAACAGAAUUACCGACGGAAUAAUUUCCGUCGGUAAUUUCGUUGGUAAAAAUGACACGUCAUCAUUUUUUUUUGCUUUGUUUUAAUUUUUUUCCCACGGUAAUUCCCUCGGUAUAUACCGAGGGAAUAUUUCCGUCGGUAAAAUCCCUCGGAAAGUUACCGACGAAAAUAUUCCCUCGAUAUUUCCGUUUGUAUUUAUCGAUUUUCUGAUAGUGUUAUGAUAACCUCAAGGAAAGUAAACAAAAAAAGUCAACACGGGUUAACCUGCUAAACUCACGACCAAGGUUAUAAGACCGUGAAAACCUCAUUGAAAACAAAUCAAAAAAAAAUUAUAAAGCCCAGUUUUCAAUAAACUCAUUGUUAAAGGUUAAAAUAAAUAAAUCUAGAAACAUAAUACAAUAAAACAACCAGAUUCAUAAAAUCAAAAUAACCUUAUAAAAGACAAAUCAAAAUAAAUCAUGGAGCCUACUUCAUAAUCAACUUCAUGUUGAAUGAUUAAAUUAAAAAAAAAAAUACAAAUUAAAAAAAGUAAAAAAAAACUCGAGUCAACCGGGUCAACCUGUCAAACCCGCAACAUGAGUCAUGAUACCGAAAUAACUUCAUAGAAAGCAAACUAAAAUAAAUUAUAAAGUCUGAUUCCUAAUCAAUUCAAUGUUUAAGGUUUUAAGUAAAACAAAUGUUAAUUAAAAAAAGAUAAAAAAAACUCAAGCCAAUCGAGUUAACCCGGCAAACUCAUGAUACAGGUUAUAAGAUUGACCUAACCAUUUAUAAAGCAAACCAUAAUAGAUUAUGAAAUUCAAUUUCCAAAAAACUAAAUAUUGAAGUAUAAAAUUACAGAAAUAAAUAUAGAUUUCGAAAAGAAAAAAAAACAAAGUAAAAAAAACACUAUUGAAAUGAAAUAAUAUUUUAUGAGGUGGUGCAUAGUAAGAACAACUUCUUUUUUAGUUUAUACUACUAACUAUUUAACCCAUGCUCCUCCGUGAUUUGAAUUUUUAUAUAUAAAAUAAUGAAUCUAGAAGCUUUUCCAAUGUGUUUUUUUAUUAAAAAAAAAAUCAAAAAUGGAAAUAAAAAAUAAUAUGUAUACAUCUAAUAAAAUAAAUUAAGAACUAUGUGUGUCAAUAAAUAAAUAAAAAGUCUUUAACAAUAAAUAAAGAUGAAAAUUAAAAAAAUUAAGAGUCAGCCAUAGACCAAGAUAUUCAACUUCGCAACUUGAAUCUUUGACACGGUUGGGUUUAACAACUUUAUUAACAAAAAACAUUUUUUUAUUUAACUAAAUGAUAAUAAAAAUGGAGACACAUGCAAUUGAUUAAAUAAAAUAAAAGGCAAAAAACAAAUGUUAUGCAAGGUUACAAAUCUUAAAAAUAUUCUCUGAAAAUAAAUAUUUUUAAUCUUUUUCAAAUAAAUUUCAUUUAUACAAAACAUAAGAAAAUAAAUGAAUUAGAACAAUCUCUCGGAAAAUUAAAUGCAUACAAAAUAAUUAAACAAUAAUCGUUAUUUAAAAGGUGCUAGAUAAAAAAAUUAAACGAGAGGAGUAUUAAUUUAAAUAUAACUUUUAAAAUUAUUUUUAAAAAAUACAUAAAAAAAGACAUUAAUUUAAAAAACAUUUUUAAAAAACAAAAAAAGCCAAGCACUGCAGGGUCUGACAAGCCAGGGCAACGCGCUUGGCCCAUCCAAUAAGGGCCUGCGCCUGUAGGAAGAGGCCCGUUUUCUUGGCCUUUAUUUUUUUAUUGUUGAUGAUGUGGACAACAUGUCAUCCCCUAAUUUUUUUUUUAAAAAGGAAAAUAAGCCAGACGUGAUAUUACCUAGUUUUCGGCCACCACUAUGACCAUAAAAUCAAGAGUUAAGUUUCUUCGACCUAAAAAUUGAUUUUCAACUCAUUGUAUACCCAUGACACCUAGAAAACAUCUUAGGCAUCUUGAUAAACCCAUUCAUGCCCUAAAAAAAUGAAAAAAAAUCAUCCCGAAACUCGAAAUCAACCCAAAACCAAAAAUCUUACUAAGCUCAUAUAUGUUUUUAGGCAAUUUCAAGGUAAAAAAACACCUAAUGUAAACUCCUUUCAUCAAAUGAAACAAUUUAACACCAAUAUUGAAUGUUUUUAUGGCCAAAUCCGGUGCAAUGGAAACUUUCUCUCUCUAGUGUUGAAUUUUAGCGUAUUUCUCUCAUUUAUCUCAAACCAGGAACAAAAAAAUAAGAAAAAGAAAGUUUGGAACCAAAAUUGAUUUUUCCCUUAAAUUUUAGAAACUAAAGGGACCUAAUAUUUAUAAUUUAGAGAGUAUGAGGACUAUAAUAAAUAUUUUGCCCAAACUUUAUUAAAGCUACUCAUUCCCUCCGUGUUUCUCAAUUUGAUUCCCCAUCUUUCGAUACCACCCUUCCUCAACAGAUUGGCCUGUAACUUGGUUCAAUAAAGGUCAAACUAAAAGAAAAAAGAAAAAAAAGUUGUGUGAAUAGUCUAUUUACAGUACCAAGUAAGGGGAUCCACAUUGCAUUUUGCAAGGUGUAUUCCUCGUGCAUUUUAGAUUUAUGGUUAAUAAUAAUAAUUUUCCUUCAAAAUGUGAUUGGAUAUAUUUGUGAGAAAAGAUUCCCUUCUCGUGGGUUGAGUAUCCUUGUAGUCAAACUUGGCUCAUGUUGUUCUCAUCCUCCUCCAACUAUUCUAGCUACCCAGGAGGAGGGUAUGAGGUAAUCAUUUAAAGGUGAUAGAUCCACUAGGGUACACAUAUAAUCGGGUAUAUCAGAAUAUAUAUCUCUUUAUAGUGUCUAAUGUAAGAAAGGAAGUCCAUAACUUGAACUUAAAUUACAAUUUUUUUCAUAAUAGAUACAUCAUUAAAGUAUUAAAUCAUGAAUGCCUGGUGAUGAUCUCCCAAAAAAUUAAAGUAGCAUAGGAGCAAAGCUUAUCUGUUAGACAAUCAAUUAAUUUUUUGAUUUUAGCAAUCUGAUUCAUUCUCCAUUAACCAAGAUGGCUAGUAGCUUGUACCUGGAAGAUCGAAGUGGUUGGUAGCUGAUACUUGCAAAAGGUCCUCUCUAGUAUAUGUAGGGUCUCUCAGAUGUUUAGGUAAGUAAUUUUUUAAGAAGAAAAAAAUGUAAUGAUAUUUUAGAGAGAUAGACUCUUAAAAUAUAUAUAUCAAAAAAGUUGAGAAUGAAGAGAUUAUGAAUUUAUAGCCUAUGAGUCUUAUGCUUUUAUGAAGAGGAGGAGUCGAAAAGUCACUUCAUCUUAUUAAUAUUUUAAGUUGUAGUUUACUCAUAAUAAAAUGUAUUGGAUUGGUUAGAUCCAGGUAACAUUUAAACCCAUUCUUUUGAGCCGUUAGGGGCUUUGAGCACAAUAACUUUAAGUCCAUCACCUAGCUAAAGAGACUCUUUGAAAAACUAAGGUUUACAUUAUUUUAGAUGUUAAAUUAGCCUACAUUGCCGCCAUUAUAUAUAUAUAUAUAUAUAUAUAUAUAUAUAUAUAUAUAUAUAUAUAUAUAUAUAUAUAUGUUAAAUUCUAAUAUAUUUAGAUAAUAGUUUGCAUUUUAAAAUAAGUAAUGAUACCUAACUUAUAUAAAAUAAAUUUAAGAUAUUAAAAUAAAAUAAUAACAUAUUAAAAAAUAUUGAACACCUAGUUUUGCUAAUUGUAUAGACUUGAUAACGAUAACAAUUUGUAUAAGAAAACAAUUAUGUUGAAAUCAAAAGCUUUGUUUGAAAGUAAUACUCAUAAACUAAUUUUACUUUUAAUCAAAAUACUAAUUUAUCUAACUUUUAUAUUAUUAAAUUAAAAAAAAAGUCUCAUGUAUUCUACAUGGUGAUAAUGUUUCAAAAUUCAAGAUGGUUAGAAAUAUGAUUUUUUUGGUGGUUGAAUUAUGAGUUAAUCAAGUAUCUUUGUAAUUACUUCCAUUCUCUAUAGUAAAUGAAAGUGAUAACUUGAUGUGAUGCUUAUCAUACCUGUAAAACAAUCCAUGUUAGUUGAUUUAGAGACCCCUUAAAUGCUGAAAUCAAUAUGUUUAUGAAGGAAAAGUUUAUAAAUAUUUAAGAUAAUAUUAAAUUAUAAGAGUAAAGUUUUUAUAUAUAUAUAUAGGAUUAAGAUUAUAUGAAAAUGGUUUAUGUCUAUUGAGAAUAUAAAUUUUUGUAAACUUUUUACCUAGAUAGUUAAGGGAAUAUUUAUAGCACAUGAACCUUGUUCUUUACUUAAGUGAAGAGGCUGAAGAGUCAUUUAGCCCUGAUAGUGUUAUUAAGAGAUAAAUAUCAUUUAUCUUUAAAUAUCUAUGACUUAAACAAUAAUGAAGGUCAAAAGUGGUUGGAUUUAGGCCAAAGAGUUUGGCCCAACAAGGACUAAGACAUGCAUUUAGCCCAAGAAUAUUUAGAUGUGUUCUUUAGCUAAAACACGAGGCUAGGGACCAUAUUGAAUCAGGUAUAGACCAAACCCUUAAACUUGGCCAUAGCACUAUAGCCCACGAGUUGUUAGGCACACGUCUAGCACCUGGGCUUGGGGCUCGUUGCCCGAGCCUACGAGGUGUUGGACACACACCCAACACUUGCUCGAGCCAAAAGGUGUUGGGUGUGGAUAGCUUUGGAUGUCACUCCUAAGCCUAUAAGGCACUCAGUUUGGGCCUAUAAUUAUAAUUUGGGUUUAAGUCAUGUUUUCAAAGUUCAUAAUAGACUUGGGCUAAUUAAAAAUAAUUUUCCAAGAAAUAUAUUAUUAUUAUUUUAAAUACUAAAUCAUGUUUUCAAAGCCCAUAAUGUAUUGGCUAGCCAAAAAUAUUUUUCCAAGAAAUAUAUUAUUAUUAUAUAAUAAAUUCGGUUCAUCAUGUGUCAACAUCAAAAUUAAAAACUAUAAAAAAAUAAAUUUCUAAAAUUUAUCAAAAAAUAAAAAAUUAAUGCACACACUAGUUGAAUACCCUGCUAGCUGCAUGCGGGUUAACACCCAAUAAAUAAAUAACUUAUACAUAAUAAAAUAAAUAUUAUUACAUAAUUAGUAUCAUCCUUUUCUAAGGUAGAAACCGUACCCAACUAUUAAAUAAAUUCUAACAUUUGUAAUAAAAAAAAUAACUUAAUGUAAUAAAAAAUGACAUUAUCUGCAGGAUAAUUUGCUAGGAGGCAAAACUAGAAUAAUUUCAAAUCAUAGAAAACAUUAAAAAAAAGCUCACAUUUACGUUAUUCUAGAUUUCAAAAUUAAUUCCAACGUAAUCGAAUCAGUUGCAUGAGCAUGAAGAGUACUGGUGGUCAAGAUGAUUAUCCUAACAAAACAUAAACCAACUGUUAUGCAAUUUCUUCUGUUUACGCUUUUUGGAAAUCUAAUUAGGAAGCCACUAGCUAUUUGUUUUCUUCUCAGGAAUCCACCGGAUUUUGGCGUCUCAACUCCUUAUUAGAUUCUUGAAUGACUAUUAAUAAUACUGCAGUUUCUUGUUUAUUUGUCUGAUUUCAGAAAUCCCUUCUCUUUCAGCACUACAGUGUUAAUUCACCCGAGGCAAGGAACGGCGAGCCUUUAUGCCCUGGCUUGACGUCCUGCUUUCUGAGGGCUUAAUUAUUCCUUGCUGCCAUUCGUAUGAGAUCAAGGCUUAAGAAUUUCACGUGAACAGUGUAUCAUGGUUGAAUUUAAAGAGCCGCGCAAGAAAGCAGCAUUUUUCUGCUUUCCAUCUGCUUGCGUUUCACACGCAAUUUAUGGUGGGACCAUGCACAGUAAAUCACUUUUAUUUUGUUAACCAAACGUUUGCUUCGUGCGUUUUUGACAAAACGCAAACUCUAAUGCGUAGCCAAAUGUAUUCUUUGUCUUUGAGGAAUAAACCGUGAUUUCUCAAAUUAUGAUUUUUUUUAAAAGUCUGAAAUUAUUUUUUUAUUUUUUGAAUUGUUUUGAUAUAUUAAUAUUAAAAAUAAUAUUUUAAAAAUAAAAAAUAUUAUCUUAAUAUAUUUUUUUUAAAAAAACAAUUUAUUUAAACACUCUAAAACACCCCUUAUGUACAGUAUCCACGUAGUAUUUUUUGUUAGAGUAUUAACAGCUGCUAACAAAUCAGGAGAAGAUCUCACAACUGUCAACAAAUCAGAAGAGGAUUCCAAAGAUUUUGCAUCAACUACCAGCCUGCAGAAUCGCUAGUCUAGCUAGCUUGAAAGAUUCUAGUCUAGCUAGCUUGAAAUUCAAAUAGCUUGUAAUCUCCAGUUUAUUCUCCUUCAGUUACUCAAUUAUUUGUUUGUUAUCUGUGUAAAUAAAUCUAUAUAUAUACGAGUAAAUAGAAAGAAGAGUAAUCAAGUCAUUCUUUUAAAAGGUGUAUCUGCAGAAUUCUAUUUACUCUAUUUUUUUUUGUUUAAUCUUUCAUUUUUCCAUACUGUUUAGAGUUUUUUUUUUUUUGUUAAUUGUUCACUGGACAGGAUGUGCCUUUGAUACAAAAAGAAAAGGAGAAUGCGCCGUGGUGCCCAGAAAGCAAUAAAUGGUUCAACAACUGGAUUAAAAUUCACAAUUUGAUAUUAUUGUGUUGAAUAACGACUGAAUAUCACCAUGUUUUUUGUUCACCCACUAUCAAGAUUUGUCCCUCAUGUAACAUGAAAAGUUCAUACAAGCAAAGAAGCUUGUUUACACAUUGUACGUAUAUAUGUAAUCUCAAUUUCCCUACUAUCUCCCCCCUUUCAGACGUGGAACGGCAGCGGCCCAACAUGUUCUACAAGAUAAAUAAACUGACUCGGCUUCAAUCUCUCUCUCUCUCUCUGCUUCUGGCUAGCCUGUUUGGUAAUUACAUGAUGGAGCAAGAAGGGUCCUGAUGGGGGUGAAUCGGAUGGAUAUAGGUCUGAGGCAUGCCUCCACCAUACACGGACCAAGCAACCGGCUGCACUGCUGGCUCUUCUUUCUUUUCUCCCACAGCUUCUACACUUGCUAACUCUGCGU